Molecule: ribosomal RNA, 487 nt
Filed under: uncultured bacterium
Lineage: Bacteria
Description: partial 16S ribosomal RNA
Rfam family: Bacterial small subunit ribosomal RNA
Source: RNAcentral
GAUGAACGCUAGCGAUAGGCUUAACACAUGCAAGUCGAGGGGCAGCACAAGGUAGCUUGCUAUCUGGGUGGCGACCGGCGCACGGGUGCGUGACGCGUAUGCAACUUGCCCUAUACAGGAGGAUAACCCGUCGAAAGACGGACUAAUACUGCGUAUGCUCACAACUUGGCAUCAAGUGGUGAGGAACGAAAUUCGGUAUAGGAUAGGCAUGCGUCCCAUUAGCUUGUUGGUGAGGUAACGGCUCACCAAGGCAACGAUGGGUAGGGGAACUGAGAGGUUUAUCCCCCACACUGGUACUGAGACACGGACCAGACGCCUACGGGAGGCAGCAGUGAGGAAUAUUGGUCAAUGGGCGCGAGCCUGAACCAGCCAAGUCGCGUGAAGGAUGACUGGCUUAUGGAGUGUAAUCUUCUUUUAUACGGGAAUAACAAGAGUCACGGGUGACUCCCUGCAUGUACCGUAUGAAUAAGCAUCGGCUAACUCCGUG